RNAcentral lists this small RNA (459 nucleotides) under Pongo abelii (Sumatran orangutan). RNAcentral's name for it is "processed transcript". The record is from RNAcentral. Lineage: Eukaryota; Metazoa; Chordata; Mammalia; Primates; Hominidae.
UUGGAGGCCCUAGGGGAGCGUCUUUCCUUGCCUUUCCAGCUUCUAGAAGCUGCCCAAAUUCUGUGGUUUGGGGCCUCCUUUCAAAACCAGCAAUGGCCAAUUAGUCUUACAUCACUCAAAUACUUGAGUGUUCUGUCUCCCUCUUCCGUGUUUGAGGACCCUUGUGAUUACACUGUGAAAACCCAGAUAAGCCAGGAUAAUUUCCCUAUCUUAUUAGGAUGGUAUUCAUUCAGGAGAAGGACCCUACAGAUGGAAUGAAUGCAGGAAAGCUAAGAAGAAUCACGCCUCAUUGCAGAUCUGCAUUACCUUUGGAAAACAGCAGCCUCAGAACCACAGUAGCCAUGAAAACCAUCAGCCUUCAACCACCACCCUUGUAUCAGAGGAGACAAAUAAGCUUGGAAAUCCUCAAAAAGCCUCAUCCUCAGAGCAAUGUCAUUAUAUAUCUUAUCUUACAGCUCC